GGCGGACGGGUGAGUAACACGUGAGAAUCUAGCAAAAGGUUCGGGAUAACAGUUGGAAACGACUGCUAAUACCGGAUGUGCCGAAAGGUGAAAGAUUAAUUGCCAUUUGAAGAGCUCGCGUCCGAUUAGCUAGUUGGUGAGGUAAAAGCUCACCAAGGCGACGAUCGGUAGCUGGUCUGAGAGGAUGACCAGCCACACUGGGACUGAGACACGGCCCAGACUCCUACGGGAGGCAGCAGUCGGGAAUUUUGGGCAAUGGGCGAAAGCCUGACCCAGCAACGCCGCGUGAAGGAUGAAAUCCCUCGGGAUGUAAACUUCAUAAGAACGGGAAGAAUAAGCCGGUGCUAAUACCACCGGUGAUGACGGUACCGUUAGUAAGCUCCGGCUAACUCCGUGCCAGCAGCCGCGGUAAUACGGGGGGAGCAAGCGUUGUUCGGAUUUACUGGGCGUAAAGGGCGCGUAGGCGGCCACCGCAAGUCGACUGUGAAAUCUCCGGGCUUAACCCGGAAAGGUCAGCCGAUACUGCGGGGCUAGAGUGCAGAAGGGGCAACUGGAAUUCUCGGUGUAGCGGUGAAAUGCGUAGAUAUCGAGAGGAACACCUGCGGCGAAGGCGGGUUGCUGGGCUGACACUGACGCUGAGGCGCGAAAGCUAGGGGAGCGAACGGGAUUAGAUACCCCGGUAGUCC
This 686-nucleotide ribosomal RNA is filed under the name uncultured bacterium. Its description in RNAcentral is "bacterial SSU rRNA". It matches the Rfam family "Bacterial small subunit ribosomal RNA", at positions 97 to 796 of the family's 1533-position model. The record is from RNAcentral.